RNAcentral lists this ribosomal RNA (165 nucleotides) under Diplogrammus xenicus. Its description in RNAcentral is "partial 12S rRNA". The record is from RNAcentral. Lineage: Eukaryota; Metazoa; Chordata; Actinopteri; Syngnathiformes; Callionymidae.
CACCGCGGUUAUACGAGAGACCCAAAUUGAUAUGAGCGGCGUAAAGGGUGGUUAGAGAUUAUUAAUAAUAGGGCCGAACUCACCCCUGGCUGUUAUACGCUACGGAAUGAAGAAGCACGUAAACGAAGGUGGCCCUAAACACUUGAACCCACGAAAGCUGGGGAA